Molecule: small RNA, 73 nt
Filed under: Clostridiales bacterium CHKCI001
Lineage: Bacteria; Bacillati; Bacillota; Clostridia; Eubacteriales
Description: RAGATH-18 RNA
Rfam family: RAGATH-18 RNA
About the family: Actinobacteria, Firmicutes, Fusobacteria, Thermotogae (1 example). Nearby to self-cleaving ribozyme genes
Source: Rfam by way of RNAcentral
ACUGUGGAGUGUACAAAAACUUGUGAGUAGUGCGUUGCCUGCAACCACCAAAACAUACACAGCGAAGCAGUAA